Molecule: long non-coding RNA, 232 nt
Organism: Patella vulgata (common limpet)
Lineage: Eukaryota; Metazoa; Mollusca; Gastropoda; Patellidae
Exons: 3
Source: RefSeq, a predicted model, not a curated record
CAUUUUUAGUAUAAAUGACUCAUUUAAUGAGCUGACCAUCGCAUUUUUUAAUAAAUAAUGAAACAGUAAAGAAUUGAGGAUCUUGACAGCUGUCGCCGAAGCUCAAAACGUCCAAAGUAAGGAGUACCCUGAAUUCAUGCAAUGAAAAGCUUGAAGGAAUUGAAUCAUCUGCUGUUGACCCAAAUGAUGUAGAGUGCUUAGAUAAAAUUGUAAUAAAUCAGAAAAAGAUCAU